CCUACGGGUGACAGCAGUGAGGAAUAUUGGUCAAUGGGCGCGAGCCUGAACCAGCCAAGUAGCGUGAAGGAUGACUGCCCUACGGGUUGUAAACUUCUUUUAUAAAGGAAUAAAGUGAGGCACGUGUGCCUCUUUGCAUGUACUUUAUGAAUAAGGAUCGGCUAACUCCGUGCCAGCAGCCGCGGUAAUACGGAGGGUCCGAGCGUUAUCCGGAUUUAUUGGGUUUAAAGGGAGCGUAGAUGGGUUGUUAAGUCAGUUGUGAAAGUUUGCGGCUCAACCGUGGAAUUGCAGUUGAUACUGGCAGACUUGAGUACAGUUGAGGUAGGCGGAAUUCGUGGUGUAGCGGUGAAAUGCUUAGAUAUCACGAAGAACUCCGAUUGCGAAGGCAGCUUACUAGACUGCAACUGACGUUGAUGCUCGAAAGUGUGGGUAUCAAACAGGAUUAGAUACCCGGGUAGUC
Molecule: ribosomal RNA, 460 nt
Filed under: uncultured bacterium
Lineage: Bacteria
Description: partial 16S ribosomal RNA
Rfam family: Bacterial small subunit ribosomal RNA
Source: RNAcentral